Molecule: ribosomal RNA, 520 nt
Filed under: uncultured bacterium
Lineage: Bacteria
Description: bacterial SSU rRNA
Rfam family: Bacterial small subunit ribosomal RNA
Source: RNAcentral
CCAGAGAACUUAGCAGAGAUGCUUUGGUGCCUUCGGGAACUCUGAGACAGGUGCUGCAUGGCUGUCGUCAGCUCGUGUUGUGAAAUGUUGGGUUAAGUCCCGCAACGAGCGCAACCCUUAUCCUUUGUUGCCAGCGGCUCGGCCGGGAACUCAAAGGAGACUGCCGGUGAUAAACCGGAGGAAGGUGGGAUGACGUCAAGUCAUCAUGGCCCUUACGGCCAGGGCUACACACGUGCUACAAUGGCGCAUACAAAGAGAAGCGACCUCGCGAGAGCAAGCGGACCUCAUAAAGUGCGUCGUAGUCCGGAUUGGAGUCUGCAACUCGACUCCAUGAAGUCGGAAUCGCUAGUAAUCGUAGAUCAGAAUGCUACGGUGAAUACGUUCCCGGGCCUUGUACACACCGCCCGUCACACCAUGGGAGUGGGUUGCAAAAGAAGUAGGUAGCUUAACCUUCGGGAGGGCGCUUACCACUUUGUGAUUCAUGACUGGGGUGAAGUCGUAACAAGGUAAGCGUAGCGAG